GUGAAUCAUCGAAUUUUUGAACGCAAAUUGCGCUUUCUGGUAUUCCGGGGAGUAUGCCUGUUUGAGGGUCAGUAAUAAUAAAAAAUGGGUUGAGUUAGAAGUUGUGAUGUUUUUGGAGUUUGGGCUGUCUUAACAUUUUUGGUUAAGAGGCUUAAAAUUGUCUUUUUUUGAGCAUUUUUAAAUGUUCAUAAAUUUUUUUUAUUCG
RNAcentral lists this unclassified non-coding RNA (205 nucleotides) under Glomeraceae sp. Its description in RNAcentral is "partial contains 5.8S ribosomal RNA and internal transcribed spacer 2". The stretch from base 1 to 71 matches the Rfam family "5.8S ribosomal RNA", at positions 84 to 154 of the family's 154-position model. The record is from RNAcentral. Lineage: Eukaryota; Fungi; Glomeromycota; Glomeromycetes; Glomerales; Glomeraceae.